This 83-nucleotide transfer RNA is filed under the name Motiliproteus sp. MSK22-1. It matches the Rfam family "tRNA". Rfam says of the family: Transfer RNA (tRNA) molecules are approximately 80 nucleotides in length. Their secondary structure includes four short double-helical elements and three loops (D, anti-codon, and T loops). Lineage: Bacteria; Pseudomonadati; Pseudomonadota; Gammaproteobacteria; Oceanospirillales; Oceanospirillaceae. The record is from Rfam by way of RNAcentral.
GCAGAUGUGGCGGAAUUGGUAGACGCGCUACCUUGAGGGGGUAGUGUCCUAUGGACGUGGGAGUUCGAGUCUCCCCAUCUGCA